GGGACCUUUAUGAUGGAAAAGGGUUGCCUCCUGCUCAGCCUGCAGUGAGACAACUCCUGCCUGCCGUGCCUGCUUGCAUGAAGAAGGAUGAUUUUGGAGGAGAUGGGGUGGCAGCUGUACUCGGCACUCAGCACUCUGGGAUGAUAUUUGUGUGGUGAAUGAUCUUAUUCUGCGCUCUUUCCGCAGGGCGGUUCGAGGCUGUGGCCACAUGAUGGGCUUGGCUGUGUCAGGUGAGAGAGCUUUAUGGCUAAACCUGUCAGGCUUGGGUGACACGCAUAAGUCGGAGGUAAUAGAUGCUGCAUACGAUCCUACAAAGGGGAUGUUUGGCCCAGCCUUUGAGAAAAUGAGGGCUUCACAGCAGCUGCCGCAGCAAGAGGGAGACCGGUAGGCGCUAGGGCUCAAAGACCUGCUCACAGCGGGCAGCAAGCUGGCCAGUGCUUACGACCGGAUGGAUCUGGGCCUUGGGGAAAGCAUUCUUUUGUGGCCAUGAGGAGAGGAAGAAGUGUGCGACCUGACAUGCAGGUAUUACCCGUCCCUUCUCUCUCCGCCCGCAAGGAGGAGAGGGUGGUAAUACAGCCCUCUUGUUUUGAGUUCAGUAAGGGCCCAUUCGGUAAGCUCUCCUUAAAGUCAUAGAGACGAGUGAGCUCAGAGUCAUGUUCAACAGUUUCACCAAGCACUCACAGUGUUUUCAAACACUUUUCAGUUUGGGGGAAUUGAAAAUAAAGAAUGCAUCAUCACAUCCAAGCCAGGGGCAGAUGGCGAUAUGCUCCCCGAGUUCAGAAAACACAUUAAUAAAUGUUGCACUACAGCAGCCAGGCAAGCAGCCAAAGGCAAUAUGUUCCAGAGACACAAAAUUCAAAUAUAUAUUAUAUAUAUUUACUUCUAACUUUACUUUUCAUUGUUUAUUUUUCCAAAUACAAAACCAGGUGAGUGUCAGAGUGAGAACUGAAAAGUUGUGUUAAUGUGUUUGCUGCUUUGCUGAAUAUCUUAAAUAAACUUACUAAUGUAAAUGUACCACAGACCUGGGCCCAAGCUAAAAGACUGUAUGAAGCAGCACGAGAAUGAUGACAGCAUCCUAAACCGUGUCAUGAAGGCCAAGUUUGAGCUGCUUGACAAACUCUGCAGAGUCUGCAAAGUUGCUUCACCAACAUGACCAUAGGGAUUCUCCAAGCUACAAAGUUAGUUAAUCUAAUCAAG
Cyprinus carpio carpio is the source of this 1197-nucleotide long non-coding RNA. NCBI's taxonomy places the organism in Eukaryota, Metazoa, Chordata, Actinopteri, Cypriniformes, Cyprinidae. The record is from Ensembl.